CGCGGGGUGGAGCAGUGGUAGCUCGUCGGGCUCAUAACCCGAAGGUCGCAGGUUCAAGUCCUGUCCCCGCAACCA
Molecule: transfer RNA, 75 nt
Filed under: Caryophanon latum
Lineage: Bacteria; Bacillati; Bacillota; Bacilli; Caryophanales; Caryophanaceae
Also listed under: 4 other names
Description: tRNA-Met
Rfam family: tRNA
About the family: Transfer RNA (tRNA) molecules are approximately 80 nucleotides in length. Their secondary structure includes four short double-helical elements and three loops (D, anti-codon, and T loops). Further hydrogen bonds mediate the characteristic L-shaped molecular structure. tRNAs have two regions of fundamental functional importance: the anti-codon, which is responsible for specific mRNA codon recognition, and the 3' end, to which the tRNAs corresponding amino acid is attached (by aminoacyl-tRNA synthetases). tRNAs cope with the degeneracy of the genetic code in two manners: having more than one tRNA (with a specific anti-codon) for a particular amino acid; and 'wobble' base-pairing, i.e. permitting non-standard base-pairing at the 3rd anti-codon position.
Source: RNAcentral